This 1218-nucleotide ribosomal RNA is filed under the name Micrococcus sp. Its description in RNAcentral is "bacterial SSU rRNA". It matches the Rfam family "Bacterial small subunit ribosomal RNA", at positions 107 to 1333 of the family's 1533-position model. The record is from RNAcentral. Lineage: Bacteria; Bacillati; Actinomycetota; Actinomycetes; Micrococcales; Micrococcaceae.
UGAGUAACACGUGAGUAACCUGCCCUUAACUCUGGGAUAAGCCUGGGAAACUGGGUCUAAUACCGGAUAAGGAGCGUCCACCGCAUGGUGGGUGUUGGAAAGAUUUAUCGGUUUUGGGAUGGACUCGCGGCCUUAUCAGCUUGUUGGUGAGGUAAUGGCUCACCAAGGCGACGACGGGUAGCCGGCCUGAGAGGGUGACCGGCCACACUGGGACUGAGACACGGCCCAGACUCCUACGGGAGGCAGCAGUGGGGAAUAUUGCACAAUGGGCGAAAGCCUGAUGCAGCGACGCCGCGUGAGGGAUGACGGCCUUCGGGUUGUAAACCUCUUUCAGUAGGGAAGAAGCGAAAGUGACGGUACCUGCAGAAGAAGCACCGGCUAACUACGUGCCAGCAGCCGCGGUAAUACGUAGGGUGCGAGCGUUAUCCGGAAUUAUUGGGCGUAAAGAGCUCGUAGGCGGUUUGUCGCGUCUGUCGUGAAAGUCCGGGGCUUAACCCCGGAUCUGCGGUGGGUACGGGCAGACUAGAGUGCAGUAGGGGAGACUGGAAUUCCUGGUGUAGCGGUGGAAUGCGCAGAUAUCAGGAGGAACACCGAUGGCGAAGGCAGGUCUCUGGGCUGUAACUGACGCUGAGGAGCGAAAGCAUGGGGAGCGAACAGGAUUAGAUACCCUGGUAGUCCAUGCCGUAAACGUUGGGCACUAGGUGUGGGGACCAUUCCACGGUUUCCGCGCCGCAGCUAACGCAUUAAGUGCCCCGCCUGGGGAGUACGGCCGCAAGGCUAAAACUCAAAGGAAUUGACGGGGGCCCGCACAAGCGGCGGAGCAUGCGGAUUAAUUCGAUGCAACGCGAAGAACCUUACCAAGGCUUGACAUGUUCUCGAUCGCCGUAGAGAUACGGUUUCCCCUUUGGGGCGGGUUCACAGGUGGUGCAUGGUUGUCGUCAGCUCGUGUCGUGAGAUGUUGGGUUAAGUCCCGCAACGAGCGCAACCCUCGUUCCAUGUUGCCAGCACGUCGUGGUGGGGACUCAUGGGAGACUGCCGGGGUCAACUCCGAAGGAAGGUGAGGACGACGUCAAAUCAUCAUGCCCCUUAUGUCUUGGGCUUCACGCAUGCUACAAUGGCCGGUACAAUGGGUUGCGAUACUGUGAGGUGGAGCUAAUCCCAAAAAGCCGGUCUCAGUUCGGAUUGGGGUCUGCAACUCGACCCCAUGAAGUCGGAGUC